ACUGUUCUAAUGUAUCUGUCAGAUGUUGAGGAAGGGGGUGAGACAGUGUUUCCUGCAGCAAAGGGAAACAUCACCUCUGUGCCAUGGUGGAAUGAGUUGUCUGAAUGUGGCAAGCAGGGCCUUUCAGUGAAACCCAAAAUGGGUAAUGCAUUGCUAUUUUGGAGCACAAGGCCUGAUGCAACUCUAGAUCCUUCAAGUUUGCACGGUGGUUGUCCUGUGAUUAUAGGCAACAAGUGGUCAGCUACAAAGUGGAUGCAUCUAGGGGAGUACAAGGUCUGAGCCAUUAUUAGUAAAGGAUAGGCGAACAAGUAUCAUGUGGAUCAUUUGUGCUGGCAUAUAUGGUGAAUGUCCAGACACAGAGUGGCACAUUCCUGAUCCCUCAACGGUAGAAAUAGCAUAGAAAAGUUUUACAAUUUAGGCAUAGCGAUUUUAUUUUAUUUUAAUUUUGUUUCUUAUUUCAUGGGCCCGUUUUAGCCUUCUAACUGGGAUUUAGGUCGUAAGUUGUUACUUGGUGGUCCAAAACAGAUAUGUUUUUUCUUCUU
This 542-nucleotide unclassified non-coding RNA is filed under the name Hevea brasiliensis (rubber tree). Lineage: Eukaryota; Viridiplantae; Streptophyta; Magnoliopsida; Malpighiales; Euphorbiaceae. The record is from RNAcentral.